Molecule: unclassified non-coding RNA, 379 nt
Filed under: uncultured Rickettsiaceae bacterium
Lineage: Bacteria; Pseudomonadati; Pseudomonadota; Alphaproteobacteria; Rickettsiales; Rickettsiaceae
Description: contains 16S-23S intergenic spacer region
Source: RNAcentral
UCCGGCUUAUCACCGGCAGUUUCCUUAUAGUUCCCGGCAUUACCCGCUGGCAAAUAAGGAUGAGGGUUGCGCUCGUUGCGGGACUUAACCCAACAUCUCACGACACGAGCUGACGACAGCCAUGCAACACCUGUGUGUGGUCCAGCCGAACUGACGAAAACAUCUCUGUUUCCUACGACCACCAUGUCAAGGGUUGGUAAGGUUUUUCGCGUAACAUCGAAUUAAACCGCAUGCUCCACCGCUUGUUCGAGCCCCCGUCAAUUCCUUUGAGUUUUAACCUUGCGGCCGUACUCCCCAGGCGGAGUGCUUAACGCGUUAGCUGCGAAACCGAAAGAAUUUCUCCCGAUAUCUAGCACUCAUCGUUUACAGCGUGGACUAC